GGAUGAGCCCGCGGCCUAUCAGAUUGUUGGUGAGGUAAUGGCUCACCAAGGCGACGACGGGUAGCCGGCCUGAGAGGGCGACCGGCCACACUGGGACUGAGACACGGCCCAGACUCCUACGGGAGGCAGCAGUGGGGAAUAUUGCACAAUGGGCGAAAGCCUGAUGCAGCGACGCCGCGUGAGGGAUGACGGCCUUCGGGUUGUAAACCUCUUUCAGCAGGGAAGAAGCGAAAGUGACGGUACCUGCAGAAGAAGCGCCGGCUAACUACGUGCCAGCAGCCGCGGUAAUA
RNAcentral lists this ribosomal RNA (290 nucleotides) under uncultured bacterium. Its description in RNAcentral is "partial 16S ribosomal RNA". It matches the Rfam family "Bacterial small subunit ribosomal RNA", at positions 223 to 525 of the family's 1533-position model. The record is from RNAcentral.